GUCAGGAUGGCCGAGCGGUCUAAGGCGCUGCGUUCAGGUCGCAGUCUCCCCUGGAGGUUCGAAUCCCACUUCUGACA
Molecule: transfer RNA, 77 nt
Filed under: Danio rerio (zebrafish)
Lineage: Eukaryota; Metazoa; Chordata; Actinopteri; Cypriniformes; Danionidae
Rfam family: tRNA
About the family: Transfer RNA (tRNA) molecules are approximately 80 nucleotides in length. Their secondary structure includes four short double-helical elements and three loops (D, anti-codon, and T loops). Further hydrogen bonds mediate the characteristic L-shaped molecular structure. tRNAs have two regions of fundamental functional importance: the anti-codon, which is responsible for specific mRNA codon recognition, and the 3' end, to which the tRNAs corresponding amino acid is attached (by aminoacyl-tRNA synthetases). tRNAs cope with the degeneracy of the genetic code in two manners: having more than one tRNA (with a specific anti-codon) for a particular amino acid; and 'wobble' base-pairing, i.e. permitting non-standard base-pairing at the 3rd anti-codon position.
Source: Rfam by way of RNAcentral